UACGUAGGGUGCAAGCGUUGUCCGGAAUUACUGGGCGUAAAGGGCUCGUAGGCGGCCAACUAAGUCGGAUGUGAAAUCCCCAGGCUCAACCUGGGAACUGCAUCCGAUACUGGAUGGCUUGAAUUCGGGAGAGGGAUGCAGAAUUCCAGGUGUAGCGGUGAAAUGCGUAGAUAUCUGGAGGAACACCGGUGGCGAAGGCGGCGUUCUGGACUGCAACUGACACUGAGGAACGAAAGCCAGGGGAGCAAACGGG
Molecule: ribosomal RNA, 253 nt
Filed under: uncultured bacterium
Lineage: Bacteria
Description: partial 16S ribosomal RNA
Rfam family: Bacterial small subunit ribosomal RNA
Source: RNAcentral